AGACAAUACCUGCAUGAGUAGUGAGCUAACCUAGUAUUUUUCGUUGGCAUAUCAUCUCUUCAUCUUUCCACUAAGUUUUCACUGUUUGCUUGGUUUUUUAUCUCCAGGAAAAAAGCAGGAAUUCAACCCAGUUUGCUACAGAGAGAAAAGGAAGAAGUUGAAUGAACUAUUAUUUUUCUAAAAUAAACUACUGAAAACAGAAAUGGAAGACAGAAAAGUGGGAAAUAGAUCAGGCCAUUUAAAAAGUCAGAGAGGAAAAAAAYCAGGAAUAAUAGAGAAAAUUAAAGGAGAAAGCUUGGUGAAAGAGGUGAUGGGAAAGUAGAAUAAAGUAGCAAUAAAGAGAUUAUGAGAGGUAGUAACAAAGAGAAAGAGAUAUAGAAAAAUAAUCAUGGGCACGAAUGAAAGAAAAAAUAAAAGAAUAUAAAACCAAAUAAAAACAGGAGAUGGAAGGAGAACUAGACAGGAAACAGGAAAAUGUGGGAAGGAAAGAAGAGAGUUGUAUGGAGAUAUAGAGUGGCAAUGCCUUUUUUCCUCUCAUCUUUAAAACAAUCUUCAAGAUUUUUUUAGCCAAGAAGGAGCAUUAAUGAGGACCAUAAAAAAUGUUUAAAACAUGUAAUAUGUGUUUGAAAAUGCAAUGCAGAUAUUAGCAGCAGCCCCUACCGAGGAGAUCCCCACCAAGCGUGGCAGGCUCAGUGUGGGCACUGACAUCCCUAAAUGGUUCAGAAUUCCAAUCCCUGCUUCCAGCAGGUGCAUGUUUACCCUUCUUGUGGUGUAUUUUACAGAACAAAUGGCCAGCUGGGGUUGUUAGGCUGUUCUGUAGGGCUGCAGAAGGUUGCAAACAAUCCUAACAUUUGAUAUUCUGGCUUUGCUGGGGAGACCCACCUCUGUAGUGACAAGGUGUGUCAAAGUGAACCAGACAGCAAGCUAUCAGAUGUGGGAAGCCACCAUAAGAGGGACUCUUUUCCCUCCAUUUUAAAGCUCAUAUUUUCAUGUCAGAAGCCUAGCACUUGGUGUGGUCACUGCAUCAAAGUGUUUUCUGUAGCAAGUUUUAAUGAGUAGUAUUUAGAAAUGUGGAUUAUAAGCUCUUCAGUGAGCRUGAGCUGGUGAGCAAAUUUUGUGCUGAACUGUGCUGCAAUGAGACUCCUGCCCAGGAGUGGAGCCACCAGUGACAGAUUUUUUUUGUAUAGGCAGAGCAGAAUCCAUCACAGAACAAUGAGGGUCACACCUGCAGCCAAAGGGAGGGACAAAUCCUGGACAGGUUUUGCUGAGCAUUAGUUGCCUUUGACUUCCAAGGGGCAGUGGCCAGGAGAAACUGAGUUUUUAUGGGUUGAAAUACAAACAUCUGGUUUUAUCUCCAUCAAAUCUGAGAGACUUAUACUUUUCCUUCUGUUUUUUAAAAAAUUUUGAAGGCUCUCAAGACUUAGACUCCCAGGUACCUGCUCCAGGCUACAGCAGCCAGUGGAAAUACCAACACCAGCAUCAUGACGAGAUGAUGGAGUCAAAAGGACUGCUUUGCUUCUGCUGUAUGUAUCUUGGAGCUGGAUUUUUCUAUGAAGUCUGUGGAAGCUUGUUACCAUGUUAAAUGCCCAGCUUUCAUUAAAUCCACACCUGAAGACCAUGUGAAUUUUCAGCCCACUCAACUCUCUUCUGAGGUACCUACUACUCACCGCUUUUGUUUCAGCAUCCGAGAAAUUCAAGGGUCRUCUUGACUUCUGCAUUAUUGACGACAGCAAACCCCUGUUCAGGAUCCAGGAGGAAUCCUUCACCGCCAGCCUAAGCAGAGCGUCGGUGACAGCCGCCGAAAUGCCUUGAUCACACACUCCCAGCACCCUGCCCGCCAGCAGCAGGAGGAAAGUCCAGUCWAUGUUAAUAAGGUGCAGAGAGAGGCCAAAAUAUUUUGUGAAUUUUCCGGCUCAAAAGGGUAAUGAAGCUACCUCUGUCUCARUGCACUGGCAUGGGAGCAAACUAAACAACUGGGAAAUAUGUUUCAAAGGAGAAAUACCGAGCACAAACUCCCUGGGUUUCACACUUCCACUGGGGGCUGAGCUUUGCCUCUUUCCACCUUAUUUUUCCAGGCURG
This is a long non-coding RNA of Malurus melanocephalus (red-backed fairy wren), 2080 nucleotides long. RefSeq lists it as uncharacterized. Lineage: Eukaryota; Metazoa; Chordata; Aves; Passeriformes; Maluridae. The record is from RefSeq and is a predicted model, not a curated record. The transcript has 4 exons.